GACGAACGCUGGCGGCGUGCUUAACACAUGCAAGUCGAACGGUGAUGCUCCAGCUUGCUGGAGUGGAUCAGUGGCGAACGGGUGAGUAACACGUGAGCAACCUGCCCCAGACUCUGGAAUAAGCGCUGGAAACGGCGUCUAAUACUGGAUACGAAACUGGCCCGCAUGGGCAUGGUUUGGAAAGUUUUUCGGUUUGGGAUGGGCUCGCGGCCUAUCAGCUUGUUGGUGAGGUAAUGGCUCACCAAGGCGACGACGGGUAGCCGGCCUGAGAGGGCGACCGGCCACACUGGGACUGAGACACGGCCCAGACUCCUACGGGAGGCAGCAGUGGGGAAUAUUGCACAAUGGGCGAAAGCCUGAUGCGGCGACGCCGCGUGAGGGAUGACGGCCUUCGGGUUGUAAACCUCUUUCAGCAGGGAAGAAGCGAAAGUGACGGUACCUGCAGAAGAAGCACCGGCUAACUACGU
This 467-nucleotide ribosomal RNA is filed under the name uncultured bacterium. RNAcentral describes it as "partial 16S ribosomal RNA". It matches the Rfam family "Bacterial small subunit ribosomal RNA", at positions 28 to 506 of the family's 1533-position model. The record is from RNAcentral.